Molecule: ribosomal RNA, 482 nt
Filed under: uncultured bacterium
Lineage: Bacteria
Description: partial 16S ribosomal RNA
Rfam family: Bacterial small subunit ribosomal RNA
Source: RNAcentral
AGUGAACGUUGGCGGCGUGGAUUAGGCAUGCAAGUCGAGCGAGAACCGUAGCAAUACGGGGACAGCGGCGAAAGGGACAGUAAUGUGUAGGUACCUACCCCGAGGUCUGGGAUAGCUGCGGGAAACUGCAGGUAAUACCGGAUAAUGUCUUCGGACCAAAGGUGUGAUUCCACCUUGGGAGGGGCCUGCAUCCUAUUAGCUUGUUGGCGGGGUAACGGCCCACCAAGGCGACGAUGGGUAGAGGGUGUGAGAGCACGACCCGCGUCAUUGGGGCUGAGACACUGCCCAGACACCUACGGGUGGCUCCAGUCGAGGUGUGUCGGCAAUGGGCGCAAGCCUGACCGAGCGACGCCGCGUGCGGGAUGAAGGCCUUCGGGUUGUAAACCGCUGUCGUAGAGGAGGAAAUGCAGGGGGGUUCUCCCUUCUGUUUGACCUAUUCUAGGAGGAAGGACGGGCUAAGUUCGUGCCAGCAGCCGCCGUAA